GUGCUGUGAAGAUAAUUGUGCAAAUGUGAAAACUUUGGGGGUCUUCACCAUGCCUGAUAAUCAGACGACAAAAUAGCACAUCUGAGCCU
This is a small nucleolar RNA of Solanum verrucosum, 89 nucleotides long. RefSeq annotates it as small nucleolar RNA snoR114. The record is from RefSeq and is a predicted model, not a curated record. Lineage: Eukaryota; Viridiplantae; Streptophyta; Magnoliopsida; Solanales; Solanaceae. The transcript has a single exon.